GCCAUUGAGGUGUAGUGGUUUGAGUGUUGGACUGUGAAUCUGGUGAUCAGAGUUCAAAUCCCUGCUCAGGCA
This is a non-coding RNA of Phrynosoma platyrhinos (Desert horned lizard), 72 nucleotides long. The record is from the annotation of a GenBank genome assembly. Lineage: Eukaryota; Metazoa; Chordata; Lepidosauria; Squamata; Phrynosomatidae.